GUAAAACCACAAAAGAAGAAGAAGGAAAAAAAAACACACGAAAAAAACCCACCCUUCUGCUUUACAAGGUGAAGUUCCUACUUUGAGCAGCCCGGCGUAGGAUCACACCACAUUCUUGUCCCUUGAAGACUAUGAACAAUUCCCAACCAGUGGGCCCAAGCAAUUCCAUGAUGAGGCGGAGUGGCUGCGUUUCCGCUGUGGUCAGCAUGCCUUCCUUCCUGCCCCUGUCCCUCGCCUUGUGACAUCGAGGAUAAGAACAGACCUCUCUGGUGUUCUUGAUAGCUCUAUUUAGAGCUUAAGAAUAAAUUCUGCUCACAUUUGAGCGGCAAGAGUCUCAGGGUGGCUCACUUACUUUCACAAGUCGGAGCACAAAUGCCUUCCCUCGCCCAGAACCUGUUUACACCAGUGCUCCACACCUCCACUCGCUCAAGUGCUAGCUGCGUGGAACUGAAGGAGGCCUCUGAGCACCCAAAGGACUCACAGCUCACAACAGUGACUACCUCCAGGGCCAGAGCUGAGAGACCAGACUGCCCCAUACCACCUUUCUAAAGAAAACUGAGAUACAAAGCAGUGUUUUCUUGAACUGAUCUGAAGGAAGGGAACUAUAGCCAAGUCCUUUCUGUUCAGAGAAGAACAAAUGUACCUAAGCCUUCUAGAACAAGCUCCAGGCUGUGAAACAUACGGCCCACCCUUACGGCUUAAGAACUGCCAUUCAAGUGUCGGAAGGCUCAUGGCAAUCUCCAAAAACACAAACCAGCUUACGUUACUGUUACGUAAAAAAAUGUUUAUUUUAGAAGUCACAUCUUUAAAAAAUAACAUAGGUUGUUCUGACCAGAUAUAAACUCAUCAUUCAACUGCCAGGGGUGUUGUGCACAAUUACCAAGCUGUGAACACCAAGUCUGUGCAAUGUUCUUGACAUCUACAUGAGCUAAAAAACGUGAACGUGGCUUUUAAAAGGCAGGGGAGAGGAAGGGACAAGAGGGAGGGGAGGAAACUACUUUGGAAACAGAGAAUUUUGAUCUUGUAAAUGUUAGUAUUGAAACCACAGGCACUGAGACUCGCCCGGGGACUGUAUGAAGUGGCAUUAUCUUAAUUCACAAGUGCUGGACAGCAUCCUGGCUUGUGCUGGGAGUGCAGGCAGGAGCAGAAGUGGCGAGCCUCUGCUCGGUAGUGUUGUCACAGCAGGAAAGCAAGAGGGAAGUCAUAGGAAGGAGCAGGGAGCCUGUGGGCAGAGCAGGGCAGAGCAGCUGCCCUUGGCCCUAGCCGGUAGCUUUCUUAUAAUCUUAUGGGUAGCACCCCCAAGUGGCCACGCUCCAAAGCUGGAGAAUCAGAACACAAAAUAAACGUUUUAAGUUCACACUUACUGUGGAUAUAAAAAUACAGCUCUUCAGGAUUGUGACCCCAAACCCAGUGACCCCUGCCUACCCAACCCCCACCCGAGUGGUGAUGCUGGAGCAGAAUGUUUAUGCCAGAGUCCCCGUAACACAGCAGUGACCUAGUGUGGCCUAGUCACGACUCUAUCAGUGAGCUCAUUGUUCCCAGGUACUGCCCAGGUCCCCAGGGAUUCUUCUUCAGGAGGCUCACAGGGCUGGUUCAUCUCCGUGCAGCAAGACAGAGACCCCAUCAGCUUUCCAGACACUUCAAGAGAGAAAUGCAUCAGAUGGCACACGGUAGUAACCCCCAAGAGCGUGCUCCCCUGUGUACCCCAAUUAGACGCUUCUGUCAGGCUGGGGGCAUUAGUAGGCUCUCGUGGCUUAGACUGGACACAUUUUUGAUUACGUAUCCCAUCAAACCAUUCCCAUCCAUUCUGUUUGUUUUUAGAGACAAGGACUCACUGUGUAGUUCUGGCUUCCCUGGAAUUCACCAUGUAGACCAGACUAGGAUCUCACAGAGACCCACUUGCCUCUGCAUCCCGAGAGCAGGAUUAAAGGCAGGCCUAGCCCAGGCUGGUCUCAAACUUGCUAUUUAGCCAAGGCAGGCCCUAUGUUCCUGAUCAUCCUACUUUACUGGGCUUAUGGGCCGGUUACUGUUCAGAGAGGCAAGCCUUGCUGGUACCAGGAGGAUGCUGCAGGAAAUGGCAGACAGGGCGAUAGAAACCUUUAGGUUACUGAAGUGAAGAAGAAGGUACAGUGAGGUUUUGGAUCUGAGCUUUAUUACCAGGGUGACGUCACCUCAGAAUGGGAAUGGGACCCUGCAAGGUGGUUCCACAAGGCACCAAACUGAAGUCCUCAGAGCUGCAGACCUCCUCAUGUGUUGAAACACAGCUGGAAAGGAAAUACAAAGAGGGCAGGGCAGG
Myodes glareolus (Bank vole) is the source of this 2296-nucleotide non-coding RNA. Lineage: Eukaryota; Metazoa; Chordata; Mammalia; Rodentia; Cricetidae. The record is from RefSeq and is a predicted model, not a curated record.